This 379-nucleotide ribosomal RNA is filed under the name uncultured bacterium. RNAcentral describes it as "partial 16S ribosomal RNA". It matches the Rfam family "Bacterial small subunit ribosomal RNA", at positions 338 to 734 of the family's 1533-position model. The record is from RNAcentral.
CCUACGGGCGGCAGCAGUGGGGUAUAUUGCACAAUGGGCGGAACCCUGAUGCAGCGACGCCGCGUGUAUGAAGAAGGGCCUCGGGGUGUAAAGCCCUUUCAGCGGGGAGGAAAGUGCCGGUGCCUAUAAAAGCAGCCCCGGCGGACUACGGCCGAGCAGCCGCGGUAAUACGGAGGGUGCGAACGUUAUUCGGAUUGACUGGGGGUAACGUGGGCGCAGACGGCGUUGCAAGUCAGGAGUGAAAGCCCUGGGCUCAACCUGGGGACUGCUCUUGAAACUGGGUGGCUGGAGUGCAGGAGGGGGAGGUGGAAUUCCGGGUGUAGCGGUGAAAUGCGUAGAGAUCAGGAGGAACACCGGUGGCGAAGGCGGCCCGCUGGAC